GUCCAGAAUGCACUUUUUUUCUUUACCAGUGAUGGUGCCAUGACUCGGACAAAAUGCCGACUGCCCCUGGGCUCCUGCUUUCUUCACCCAACACGGUCUUCUCAGACUCCUUGCGCCUUUUCCUGGCUGGGGAAAUCGGGAUCCACAAUGGAUAUAAACUGCAUGACAGCAGGAUGCUUUUCUAUUUCAUCUGUGAAUUCCCAUUACCUACUUCAAACAUGACCUUCAAAUGAAGCAAAGGAUGAAGAAAAGAGGCCUAGAAUCCAAGCCAACAGCUUUGGAUCCCACCUUCUUCCAUUCAACAUCUAAGUGUCGCGUAUGAAAUAUUCACCAUAUUUGAGGUUUCAGAGAUGUACUUCACAGAGUGGUUCCACCGUAAAGCAUCUGAGACUUCAUCUGCCCUGCAAUUGCCUAGAAUACAGUAGGAGCUCAACAAAGGCUCAUUCCACGCUAAGAGUUGUGAAUCAGAAAGAUGAAUAAAAUACAAUGCCACCCUUCAAGGACUCACAUGCCACAGAAGAGGGAGAUAUUGAAACAAGUAACUGUAGAAUUGGGACUGAAGUGCUGUAGAAGGGUUUUGAACAAGAGAUACAGCUGUGACUUUCCUUGCUUGUGUCAGCGUCAGGAAAACAUUCACCUAGAGGUGAGUUCCAUGUGAGCUGGAUUUGAAGCUUGUGUUCUGAAUUUCCCAGCUAAGUAAAGAAUGACAGAUAUUGAUAGCAGGAGGAAGAGCAUGUGCAAAGAAGUGAAGGCCCAAGAAGGGUGUGUUUUCUCACCUACCUACCAAGAUAUCUUCUUGUCAACUUCCAGCAAGCAAAUAAGACAUUUACUGAUGGGUCCUGAGCAUUUUCAGCUCCAAGGAAAGUUCAAAUUACUGGAAUUAGAUAUGGUAAAUUAAGACUAUCAUGACAAUUUGACUUUAAGUCUUAUUUGUUGAAGAUGCAAGGCAGAGGAAAUAACCAUAUUGUGAGGGCAACACCCUUUCAAUCUCACAAAGACUAUGCUUAAUGACAUAAGAACAAAUCCAACAGCUGCGAUUCUGCCUUUAGCUCCAAGUAAAAGCUUGUCUUCUAUUUUUCCAAGCUAAAUGUGUCUACAGAGGCUUCCAGCUCAAAAUCAUCAUUUGCACAGAACUUGUACAACACUCCUUCUAAAAAACAUAAAAUUUUCUUUAUUUGAUCUUCACAAUUGUAGGAUGGUUAUAAUCCCCCAACCCCACUCCAUUUUGUAGUUGAAGAAACCAAAGCCCAGAGAAUUUAAAUAGCCUACCAGUUGUCAAUGAGUGAUGGAAUCCUGACUCAAGCCUACUUCAUUCUGCUUCUACACCAGUGUCCUGCUGGACUCUGCUCUCACUUCUUAGUUGGGAGAGGCCUGAGAGGACUGUUUGUGUCUGUUGGAGACACUCAGACCCUGAGGAGGCCCACGCAGGUGAGAGCAAAUAUUAAGAAAAAAAGAGAUGGUUGGAGUGAAGCCUUGCCUUUUCCCAGCAGACCGGGUCAGUGAAGGAGAAAGUGUGUAUCUCCGGACCAUCCCUAUUAUGGGCAGAAGUCUCACAGGGGCUACUACACCUCCAUGAGCUCAUGUGGCCCAGAAGGUGGCAUCCUAUAAGUGCGUAAGCUGAUGACUAUGACAAUUAACCCUGCAGGGGUUACACUGGCAGAGAUGUUCAUUCACACGUUAGAAUGGCUCCAGGUUGUAGGACAUUUCACAGGCUAGAGCAAAUAUUUCAUUUAUUUCACUAAAGUCUCUCCCUCUUUUCCUUUGUUUUGCAACUUAUACCUCAGAUUUGGGAUGGUGGAAUGGGGCUGAGAUUUUAGAGACUAUUCUCUGCCUAUUUUUAUUCUCUGGGUGACCAUGUCUGCAGAAGCCUUUUGCAAUAUUGGAGUACAGUUCCAGCACAACCCUGCCACCAAUCUAUGAGCUCUAUUUACCUUCAUAUGCCUAGUGAGCACAUCAUAGAUAUGCAGCAAAUAACGGCAGAAAUAAUAUGGAAUUAUUGUGUGAAGUCCAUAAAGUAUAUAUCAAGUUUUAUUGCAUGGCAUUAUGUUUACAAGCAAUGACUUGACUCAUAGAAUCUGCUUAAUAUGAAAUGUGUUGUAAUGGCCUGCUGCUGUUCCUUUAAAGUCUCGAGAGGACACCAUCUAAGGGAAACAGCUAAUAUCUUCUUUUUCUGAAAUGUCAUGCACUGCAUGCAUACACAAACACACACACACACACACAGUCCCCUUCAAUGAUAUGAGUUUUAGCAAGCUAUUGUUUGUUGAACAGUUUAGCAAGCUGUUGAGUCACUUCUCAUUUGCAGGCAGAUGCAUGGUCCUAAGAAAUGUGCAUGGGUUUUGGUGGUGUGUUAUGAGCCCUACAAUCUCCUAGCAUAUUAGUUGGGCAAGUUAUUUAACUCUGAGAUUCUAUAUUUGCAGCAAUAAGAUGGAAAUGAUAAUAGUCAUUGAGUUGCAAGGAACAAAUUAAGGAGUCAUAUUUCCUGAGUUCAAGUCCUUCCACUGCUAUCAUGGAUGCUAUAGACAAUGCUGUAACGGAUGCUAUAGUGCUCCACUCUGAUUCCUUCCAAGAACUGAGAAACUCAUGCCCACAGCUUCCAGGAGUAUGUGGGUUUUUGACAUCUCACAGCUGAGUUCCUCCCCAGAUACUGCCCUCCAUUUGCCAAAGAGAGCUGCCUUGCCCAGCACUCCUCUCCUGGGAACAGUCUGAAAGAGUUCAAACGUUUGAUCUUCUUUCUUCAAUUUAGCUCUGAAGAAUCACCUCAACUACAGAAAUGCUUCAGCUUCGUUGCAGCCACUUGUACCCAAUCCUGCUUCUCUCAACCCCUGACAAGUGCUGUUCAGAGAACACUUCCCCAUCAACUUUCUGCAAGAAAAUCUUCAAUUCAGAGUCUGUUUCCUGGACUCUUGGUUGUGCCUGUGAAAUUUACUGCUUAUAGCGGAUAGUUCUUCAGAGGUUCUUCAGAGAAGUGAUAGACAGUAAUAUCAGAGGACAGGAGAGAAGAUGUAUUUAGAUAAAGACUUCCUGGAGAGGGCACAAGUUGACCUUUGGAGUGACCAAGACUCACCCCCAGAUAGAAAGUUCAGCACUUUUGUUUGAGAGAGAGGGUGGAAAGAGCCUAAGCUGCAGAGUCUGGAAGACUUGAGUUUUAGUCAUAUCUUCAUCUAUGACUAGUUGUGUGACCCUGGAAAUCUUUCCUGGCCUCUCUGAGCUUUCAUUUUGUCAUUGUGAGACACCUCAUUGACUUGUAAAGAUUAAAGGAAACAUGAAACGUAUCUAGACCAAUAGCUGAUAGUAUGGUAGACAUUUAGCCAAUGGUGUUGAUUUGAGCUAACUCAAAUCUCUAGGUUAUAGUAAAAAAAAAAUGGCAAAAAAUUAAUUAACUUCUCCACUUUGUGCCUUAGAGAAGGAUAAGCCAAAGGAAGAAUUUGCUCUUGUCCUCAUAUCACAUAUUAUACCACACAUUCACACAUGCACACAUGCAAACACACAUGCACACAAACAGGCGUGAGCCACAAUCCACAGGGAAGGACUAUUUACAGUGCUUAGGCACCAUAAUAAACUUCUCCAUGAAGUACAGCAGUAGUGUUCUUAAUUAAAAUCUCUUAAGAACUCUUGUUGUUGACAAUAUCACCACCCAAAGCCAUAUUUACCUUGUUAAUUAUUCAAGUUACAGUGAAUAAGAAACAAUGCCCAGGCUACCCAUAAAAUUUCCAAAAAUUAAGCCAGGGAAAUGGGCAAUAAAUGUCAUUUGAAAUGGUACUGAUGCCAGUUAAUUACAAGACAACUGUAAAAUAAUGGGGCAUGAGGUACUUCAACAACGCCUAAUUAGUAACUAUACGGACAUUUUCUUGGAAAAAAUGGCAAUUACAUGGUGCAAACACUUAGCAGUCAUCAUCAAAGGCCCUUAACUAAUAUUAGCUAAUUAAUCUUCUCCACAAUACCCCAGCAGGAGGUAGCACAAGUCCCCAUGGAGAGAGGGAGAAGAGGAGGCCAGGAGAUGAAAUGGAAAAUCCUCUUCUGCUCAGCAUCUGUAAAGAAUGAUUUGGCACUAGCAGCCUAGAAGCACCCAGGGGGGAUCCCCAGGCAGGUAUAGACAGGUUGUUUUCUUAAUGAGUGGCAUGCCCAGGUGAUGCAUAAUGUUAGUGUGGUGAAUUCUUGCCUUCCUCUUGAUCUCCAGCCACGUCUCACAUCCCAGCUGACCCGGAGAACUCCUACACUGAAUUGCUGUAGCAGGCAUACGUGCACUCUUGCAUUUAUCAGCCCUUUCCCUUUUUCUAAGCAAGAAGGCUUUUUUUCCUCAAACAUAUAAAACCAAAGGUAAGGAGAAGGGAGUGGUCCCUAUUUCCAUAAAGCCAAGCUUAUUAUAUCAGGACAUGGUUCACAGCUUUGGCUUCAGCUCAACUAUAAGAUCUAGAAUUAUUUCAGGAGUAUGAUUGAUUUUGGUUAGGUGAAAAUAUUUUUUUUU
Molecule: non-coding RNA, 4465 nt
Organism: Microcebus murinus (gray mouse lemur)
Lineage: Eukaryota; Metazoa; Chordata; Mammalia; Primates; Cheirogaleidae
Source: RefSeq, a predicted model, not a curated record